GCAAUGCGUGGCAUACGGCUCAGUAACACGUAGUCAACAUGCCCAGGGGACGUGGAUAACCUCGGGAAACUGAGGAUAAACCGCGAUAGGCCAAGGUUUCUGGAAUGGACACUGGCUGAGACCUAUAUGGCCCCUGGAUUGGACUGCGGCCGAUCAGGCUGUUGGUGAGGUAAUGGCCCACCAAACCUGUAACCGGUACGGGCUUUGAGAGAAGGAGCCCGGAGAUGGGCACUGGGACAAGGGCCCAGGCCCUAUGGGGCGCAGCAGGCGCGAAAAUUCUGCAAUAGGCGAAAGCUUGACAGAGUUACUCUGAGUGAUGCCCGCUAAGGGCAUCUUUUGGCACCUCUAGAAAUGGUGCAGAAUAAGGGGUGGGCAAGUCUGGUGUCAGCCGCCGCGGUAAUACCAGCACCCCGAGUGGUCGGGACGAUUAUUGGGCCUAAAGCAUCCGUAGCUUGUUCUGCAAGUCUUCCGUUAAAUCCACCUGCUCAACAGAUGGGCUGCGGGAGAUACUACAGGGCUAGGAGGCGGGAGAGGCAAGCGGUACUCAGUGGGUAGGGGUAAAAUCCUCUGAUCCACUGAAGACCACCAGUGGCGAAGGCGGCUUGCCAGAACGCGCUCGACGGUGAGGGAUGAAAGCUGGGGGAGCAAACCGGAUUAGAUACCCGGGUAGUCCC
RNAcentral lists this ribosomal RNA (674 nucleotides) under uncultured Nitrososphaerota archaeon. Its description in RNAcentral is "bacterial SSU rRNA". It matches the Rfam family "Archaeal small subunit ribosomal RNA", at positions 71 to 748 of the family's 1478-position model. The record is from RNAcentral. Lineage: Archaea; Thermoproteati; Nitrososphaerota.